RNAcentral lists this ribosomal RNA (815 nucleotides) under uncultured bacterium. RNAcentral describes it as "bacterial SSU rRNA". It matches the Rfam family "Bacterial small subunit ribosomal RNA", at positions 56 to 920 of the family's 1533-position model. The record is from RNAcentral.
UGCAGUCGAACGAGGUAGCAAUACUUAGUGGCAGACGGGUGAGUAACAUGUGGGUAUCUGCCCUUUGGCCUGGAAUAACACGAGGAAACUUGUGCUAAUACUGGAUAAGUCUUAACGGAGAAAGCUUUAUGCACCAAUGGAUGAGCCCGCACUUGAUUAGUUUGUUGGUAGGGUAAUGGCCUACCAAGACUGUGAUCAAUAGCUGAUUUGAGAGGAUGAUCAGCCACAUUGGGACUGAGACACGGCCCAAACUCCUACGGGAGGCAGCAGUGGGGAAUCUUGCACAAUGGAGGAAACUCUGAUGCAGCGAUGCCGCGUGAGUGAAGAAGGCCUUUGGGUUGUAAAGCUCUUUCGUCGGGGAAGAAAAUGACUGUACCCGAAUAAGAAGGUCCGGCUAACUUCGUGCCAGCAGCCGCGGUAAUACGAAGGGACCUAGCGUAGUUCGGAAUUACUGGGCUUAAAGAGUUCGUAGGUGGUUGAAAAAGUUGGUGGUGAAAUCCCAGAGCUUAACUCUGGAACUGCCAUCAAAACUUUUCAGCUAGAGUUUGAUAGAGGAAAGCAGAAUUUCUAGUGUAGAGGUGAAAUUCGUAGAUAUUAGAAAGAAUACCAAUUGCGAAGGCAGCUUUCUGGAUCAAUACUGACACUGAGGAACGAAAGCAUGGGCAGCGAAGAGGAUUAGAUACCCUCGUAGUCCAUGCCGUAAACGAUGUGUGUUAGACGUUGGAAAUUUAUUUUCAGUGUCGCAGUGAAAGCGGUAAACACACCGCCUGGGGAGUACGACCGCAAGGUUAAAACUCAAAUGAAUUGACGGGACC